Molecule: ribosomal RNA, 468 nt
Filed under: uncultured bacterium
Lineage: Bacteria
Description: partial 16S ribosomal RNA
Rfam family: Bacterial small subunit ribosomal RNA
Source: RNAcentral
GACGAACGCUGGCGGCGUGCUUAACACAUGCAAGUCGAACGGAAAGGCCCUGCUUUUGUGGGGUGCUCGAGUGGCGAACGGGUGAGUAACACGUGAGUAACCUGCCCUUGACUUUGGGAUAACUUCAGGAAACUGGGGCUAAUACCGGAUAGGAGCUCCUGCUGCAUGGUGGGGGUUGGAAAGUUUCGGCGGUUGGGGAUGGACUCGCGGCUUAUCAGCUUGUUGGUGGGGUAGUGGCUUACAAAGGCUUUGACGGGUAGCCGGCCUGAGAGGGUGACCGGCGACAUUGGGACUGAGAUACGGCGCAGUAUCCUACGGGAGGCAGCAGUGGGGAAUAUUGCACAAUGGGCGGACGCCUGAUGCAGCAACGCAGCGUGCGGGAUGACGGCCUUCGGGUUGUAAACCGCUUUCGCCUGUGACGAAGCGUGAGUGACGGUAAUGGGUAAAGAAGCACCGGCUAACUACGUG